AUCGUGUCUCUUGACUUCUCUCCUACUCCACCUCUCUUCAUCUUCUUCUUCUUGCUCGGCUCCACCUCAACCACCACCACUAGCUUCCUCUGCCAUCUGCACACCAAAGCUUUGUCUGAUCCGGUGUUGGUCUUUUUCAUUUUCUCUCCUCUUCUAUUUCAUCCUCUGUCCUCUUCUUCAGAGACGCGGUGGAGUUAGAGUCUUGAGAGGCGGAUUUGGAGAGCUUCACCUCGACCCAAUCAAAAACGUCCGGUCUCUGGGCUUCGUCAUCAGGCAGAGGAGCAUCACAAUAUGUUGGCAUUGAAGACGGUGGUGCUUGAGCUUCGUUGCCGUUUUCAUCUCUGAGAAAGCUCUCCCAACCUGUCCCAACAGUCUCGUUACUUUUUUAAAAUCUGGAUAAUUGAAAAAAAAUGGAAACAAAAGAGACGAGAGAGAGGUUUGAGAUUAAAUUUUGAUAAAGAGUAAAUGAGAUAUAUCUUGAGUGACAAACGCAGCAGCAGAGUCUGGAAUUGAAGGCGCCAGAGGAGGUGUUGAAGGCACCAGAGGCCGAGUCGAAGGCGGAUUGCUAAAUCAAGCUCAAUAUCCAAACUUCAAGAAAUAAUAGUUGAGAAGAAUAGAAGAUUAAAACUCGAAGGGGAAGGGGAAGGGGAAGGUAAAGAGGUAUGAGAGAGAGAGAGAGAGAAUGAAACAAAGAAGAGAAGCACAAAUGAGCUGUGAUCGUUAGAUAAACUAAUCUAAGGGUUUGUAUUGCAAUCAACGUGAAUCAUGAAUUGACCAAUAGAAAAGCCUUCUUUAUUUUUUACCUUUUCUUCGACAACUUUUUGUUUUUUUCAGUACAGAUUAUUGUUUUUUUUUAAGGUUCGU
Molecule: long non-coding RNA, 864 nt
Filed under: Brassica napus (rape)
Lineage: Eukaryota; Viridiplantae; Streptophyta; Magnoliopsida; Brassicales; Brassicaceae
Description: long non-coding RNA (BNAP_LNC016207)
Source: RNAcentral